UACGGAGGGUGCAAGCGUUAUCCGGAUUCACUGGGUUUAAAGGGAGCGUAGGUGGCCUUAUAAGUCAGUGGUGAAAUCUCUCGGCUUAACCGAGAAAUUGCCAUUGAUACUGUAGGGCUUGAGUAUAGUUGCCGUUGGCGGAAUAUGACAUGUAGUGGUGAAAUACAUAGAGAUGUCAUAGAACACCGAUUGCGAAGGCAGCUGACGAAACUAUAACUGACACUGAGGCUCGAAAGUGCGGGGAUCAAACAGG
Molecule: ribosomal RNA, 253 nt
Filed under: uncultured bacterium
Lineage: Bacteria
Description: partial 16S ribosomal RNA
Rfam family: Bacterial small subunit ribosomal RNA
Source: RNAcentral